This 215-nucleotide unclassified non-coding RNA is filed under the name Phoma sp. RNAcentral's name for it is "partial internal transcribed spacer region". The stretch from base 1 to 46 matches the Rfam family "Eukaryotic small subunit ribosomal RNA", at positions 1786 to 1831 of the family's 1831-position model. Lineage: Eukaryota; Fungi; Ascomycota; Dothideomycetes; Pleosporales; Didymellaceae. The record is from RNAcentral.
AAGUCGUAACAAGGUUUCCGUAGGUGAACCUGCGGAAGGAUCAUUACCUAGAGUUUGUGGGCUUUGCCUGCUAUCUCUUACCCAUGUCUUUUGAGUACUUACGUUUCCUCGGCGGGUCCGCCCGCCGAUUGGACAAAAUUAAACCCUUUGCAGUUGCAAUCAGCGUCUGAAAAACAUAAUAGUUACAACUUUCAACAACGGAUCUCUUGGUUCUG